Molecule: long non-coding RNA, 34808 nt
Filed under: Hordeum vulgare
Lineage: Eukaryota; Viridiplantae; Streptophyta; Magnoliopsida; Poales; Poaceae
Description: long non-coding RNA (HVUL_LNC007059)
Rfam family: MIR1120/MIR1122 microRNA precursor family (bases 19232-19366)
Source: RNAcentral
CCCAGACAGUUUAGAGACAUCAUCCGAGACUGAUCCAAGAAGACCAUGUCAAACUAAGGAUGCGAGAUGAGAGCCACACAAGUGACCCCAGGCGACGAUGGCACUUCUAAGCAUAACUGGUAGACAAGGUAACAGAGGUGGAGAGACUAGCGGCUGUAGCAGCAGAGUCACUUGAUCCAGCAUCCUACGUGCCUGUGCGCUCUCCGUUACCCGCCGAUCCGGCUUGGUGUGCUUCUCCUGUUUGCGGGUUGUGUGCCACGCACUUGAUUAAGCACCCCACGUUCUCCUACAGUGCGCCCUUGACCCUGGCUUUAGGUAGCGCCAUGUCCUCGGCUUGCCGUGCAUAAUCCAGGUAUGCGCCAACUGUCCGAGCUCCUGCUCACCAUCGGUGUUGCUCGAGCGUGGGUUCUGGUGUCGCCCAUAAAGGGAACACGGGAUGUGGGAUUGAGACAGUUCACAUAGCAACCCACAGCAAGGCAAAGGAUGCCCAUCCAACUGGCAGGGAGCGGAGGUGGACCCAAAAAGGUGGAUGUUGACUCGAAGGAGUCUCAACAGUACGCUUGUCAGUAAGAGGAGCAAGAAGAUCCUGGAUAUACUUCUCUUAGCAAAUAAAGAAGCCAUCAAAGGUAGACUCAGGGAAGUAGCGAUGAGGACCAAGGUCAGACAUAAGAAACUCACUGUGACGAGCCUUCACAAAGGCAAUGUACUUAAGAGUCGUGCAGGAUCAUGAGCACCCGUUGAAAAACGAGCCUUAUUAACCACAGAGACAAUGCUCAAACCAGUCAUGAGGGGUUUGCGAAAGAGCAUAUAGAGAACGCCGAAGGCGACAAACCAUGCCGGCUGGAAAAGAAUACCCAAGUGGUGGCUACAUGUAGGCAUUGUUGACAUCAAGCUGAGAGAGAGAGAGAUAGAUAGAUAGAUAGAGAGAGAGAGAGCCUAUGUUGGCAAACAGAAGCACAUCGAAAAGUGUUCCAAAAGUGGUCAUCUGGGCCAUACAGGAGCAAAUGUCUCAUCGUAGUCAUGACUAUGUUCUCACCACUAGACGUGGUUUGUAGAGCUCUAGAGUAACAUCAUAGUCUCACCCUUGUGGGCCUAGUUACAAGUAAUGAGACGAGCAAGAGGAGGAAGGGAAAUGAGAUUCCACUAGCCGACGAGGUGAAGAGCAUUUGAUGCCAUCACAUGCUGCCAUUGUGGAUGAAAAAAAUGUCAUGAUAAGAAGUCUUCUUGUGAAGAGCACCGCAAUAACUAACCAUAGCAGUCAAUAGGCAGAAGCCGGCGAGCUCGAAAGCCAUAAGUAGGCUGAUCUGGAGCUAUGUGUUGCCAACAGAAGAAGACAUAGUAGUUGAGGGAGAUGACUCAUUAUAAGAAUCCACAACACGCGAACAAUGAGUGUAGUAAAGUCAAGGAAGAUGAGCAAAAGAAGGAACAUGCAAGACAAACUGCCAAGAGUGCCUCGACUAUCGACUGGCAGGGAAGUUACAUUGACAGUAAAAACAUGAACAUGAGAAUCUAGAUGUGGAAUACCCAAGUGGUGGCUGCACGUAAAACCCCUGACAAAAUUCACCAUUAAAAAAGUCUUUGUUAACAUCAAGCCGAGACGGAGUGACGAAUAAAGGCCGCAACAAGAUGUGUGUGAACAAUUGUCGUAUGGCCCGCAUGAGCUGAAACUCUCAUCGUAAUUAGGACCAUGAUUCUACUAAAAGCCACGAGCCACAAGACGAGCUUUGUAAUGUUCAAGAGAACCAUCAGAGCGAGUCUUAACCUUGUUGACGCACCAAGUAAUGGGACGAACACGAGGAGGAAGGGACACAAUAUCCGAUGUGCUGAUGUGCUCAACAGUAGCAAUAUCCUCUACCAUGGCAAGGCGCCAUUUGGUAUGAAAAACAUCAAGAUAAGAAGUCUGCUCAAGAAAGUGGCGCCAACGUUUCAUAGCCUAAGGCGGUCCACAUGCAAAAGUGGACGAGGUCGCAAGCCAUAAGAAGGCCGAGACGGAGAAGAUGGCACAUCAGUAGAUGCAUCCAGAACACAUGAACGACGUGUUUAAAAGUGAGGCAAAUGUGGAAGAAUACGAGCAAUAAUCCCCGAGAUAAGCUCAGGUUAUGGAGACAAGGAAGUCACCGAUGAUGAAGGUUUAAAAUCCCGUGAUAAGCGAAGUGAGGAAAUCAUAGGAGAUGAUGGUGUUGAAUCUGUAAUAAUUGGAGAAGCAGGAGCAGUACGAGGAAUGGAAUAGGGCUCAACUAUAGUGAUAAGAAUGUCGGGAAAAGUGAGGUAACACAUCCUCCACUAAAAAGGUCGGGGAUGAUGGUCACACGUAGCAGGGACGAGACUCAUUAAAAGUCAUACUGUGAGAAAUAGCACCCGAUGACCAACCUGAUCCCAACAACAAUAUCUCUUAUGGUCAUUGUUGUAUCCUAUGAACACUCAACAUACUAAGUAGUAAGUUUGGAACAUUGACGAGAGGCAGUAAGGGCACAUCAAACACAACCAAACAAUUGAAGCGCUGAAUAAUCUGGAAACGAUCAAAUAGACUCUUGAAAGGAGAUGACCAUGGUGGAAGUGGAGACGCAUUCAACCCAAAGGUGUGGCGUAAGAGAGGCAGUGACCAUCCAAAAGUGUGGCGGAAGAGAGAACAGUGAAAUUGAACCUAUGAGCCGUCUCAAUAGUUGACGAUGCUUGCCCUCAGCCAUGCCAUUUCUGAGCAUGAGCACCAAGAUAAGAGAACUGAGCAAGAGCACCCUGCUCAACAAGGAUUGAGCGCAACAUCUUGGAGAUUUAGUGUCCACCGAGUCAUCACAGAAUACAAGAAUAGGCGGUGAGAGAUACUAUGUUGGCAAACAGAAGCCACAUCGAAAAGUGUGCCAAAAGUGGUCAUCUGGGCCUUACAGGAGCAAAUGUCUCAUCGUAGUCAUGACUAUAUGUUCUCACCACUAGAUGAGCUUUGUAAAGCUCUAGAGAAACAUCAUAGCCUCACCCUUUGAUGUCAUCACAUGCUGCCAUUAUGGAUGAAAAACCGUCAUGAUAAGAAGUCGUCUUGCGAAGAGCACCACAAUAACUAACCAUAGCAGGCGAGCUCGAAAGCCAUAAGUAGGCUGAUCUGGAGCUAUGUGUUGCCAACAGAAGAAUACAUAGUAAUCGAGGGAGUUGACUCAUUAGAAGAAUCCACAAGACGCGAACAGUGAGUGUAGUAAAGUCAAGGAAGACGAGCAAAAGAAGGAACAUGAAAAGAGAAACUGCCAAGAGCGCCUCGACUAUCGACAGGUAGGGAAGUUACCAGGAUAAGAGAACUGAGCAAGAGCACCGUGCUCAACAAGGAUUGAAUGCAACAUCUUGGAGAUUUAUUCUCCACCAGAGUCAUCACGGAAUACAAGAAUAGGCGUAGGGAACUUGUUGUGUGCCAUGGCGUCAAAACGCUUACACAUAUAAGACCUCACUACGAAAGGAAAUAAAGUAUAUCCAGGUGUGUUGAGAGAAGUCAUCUAUAAAUAUAGUACUAGCGAUGACCUCCUUUCGAGGCGAAAGGAGGUGGGCCCCAGACAUCAGAGUGAACAAGGUUGAAAGGGUUGUUGAGACACUGUCUCGCUAUGAGCAUAAGGUAAGUAUAGCUGUUUACCAAGCCGACAACCCAGACAGUUUAGAGACAUCAUCCGAGACUGAUCCAAGAAGACCAUGUCAAACUAAGGAUGCGAGAUGAGAGCCACACAAGUGACCCCAGGCGACGAUGGCACUUCUAAGCAUAACUGGUAGACAAGGUAACAGAGGUGGAGAGACUAGCGACUGUAGCAGCAGAGUCACUUGAUCCAGCAUCCUACGUGCCUGUGCGCUCUCCGUUACCCGCCGAUCCGGCUUGGUGUGCUUCUCCUGUUUGUGGGUUGUGUGCCACGCACUUGAUUAAGCACCCCACGUUCUCCUACAGUGCGCCCUUGACCCUGGCUUUAGGUAGCGCCGUGUCCUCGGCUUGCCGUGCAUAAUCCAGGUAUGCGCCAACUGUCCGAGCUCCUGCUCACCAUUGGUGUUGCUCGAGCGUGGGUUCUGGUGUCGCCCAUAAAGGGAACACGGGAUGUGGGAUUGAGACAGUUCACAUAGCAACCCACAACAAGGCAAAGGAUGCCCAUCCAACUGGCAGGGAGCGGAGGUGGACCCAAAAAGGUGGAUGUUGACUCCAAGGAGUCUCAACAGGACGCUUGUCAGUAAGAGGAGCAAGAAGAUCCUGGAUAUACUUCUCUUAGCAAAUAAAGAAGCCAUCAAAGGUAGACUCAGGGAAGUAGCGAUGAGGACCAAGGUCAGACAUAAGAAACUCACUGUGACGAGCCUUCACAAAGGCAAUGUACUUAAGAGUCGUGUAGGAUCAUGAGCACCCGUUGAAAAACGAGCCUUAUUAACCACAGAGACAACGCUCAAACCAGUCAUGAGGGGUUUGCUAAAGAGCAUAUAGAUAAUGCCGAAGGCGACAAACCAUGCCGGCUGGAAAAGAAUACCCAAGUGGUGGCUACAUGUAGGAUUGUUGACAUCAAGCUGAGAGAGAGAGAGAGAGAGAGAGAGAGAGAGAGAGAGAGAGAGAGAGAGAGAGAGAGAGAGAGAGAGAGAGAGAGAGAGAGAGAGAGAGAGAGAGAGAGAGNNNNNNNNNNNNNNNNNNNNNNNNNNNNNNNNNNNNNNNNNNNNNNNNNNNNNNNNNNNNNNNNNNNNNNNNNNNNNNNNNNNNNNNNNNNNNNNNNNNNGAGAGAGAGAGAGAUAGAUAGAUAGAUAGAGAGCCUAUGUUGGCAAACAGAAGCACAUCGAAAAGUGUGCCAAAAGUGGUCAUCUGGGCCAUACAGGAGCAAAUGUCUCAUCCUAGUCAUGACUAUAUGUUCUCACCAGUAGACGAGCUUUGUAAAGCUCUAGAGAAACAUCAUAGUCUCACCCUUGUGGGCCUAGUUACAAGUAAUGAGACGAGCAAGAGGAGGAAGGGAAAUGAGAUUCCACUAGCCGACGAGGUGAAGAGCAUUUGAUGCCAUCACAUGCUGCCAUUGUGGAUGAAAAAAAUGUCAUGAUAAGAAGUCUUCUUGUGAAGAGCACCGCAAUAACUAACCAUAGCAGUCAAUAGGCAGAAGCGGACGAGCUCGAAAGCCAUAAGUAGGCUGAUCUGGAGCUAUGUGUUGCCAACAGAAGAAGACAUAGUAGUUGAGGGAGAUGACUCAUUAUAAGAAUCCACAACACGCGAACAAUGAGUGUAGUAAAGUCAAGGAAGAUGAGCAAAAGAAGGAACAUGCAAGACAAACUGCCAAGAGUGCCUCGACUAUCGACUGGCAGGGAAGUUACAUUGACAGUAAAAACAUGAACAUGAGAAUCUAGAUGUGGAAUACCCAAGUGGUGGCUGCACGUAAAACCCCUGACAAAAUUCACCAUUAAAAAGUCUUUCUUAACAUCAAGCCGAGACGGAGUGACGAAUAAAGGCCGCAACAAGAUGUGUGUGAACAAUUGUCGUAUGGCCCGCAUGAGCUGAAACUCUCAUCGUAAUUAGGACCAUGAUUCUACUGAAAGCCACGAGCCACAAGACGAGCUUUGUAAUGUUCAAGAGAACCAUCAGAGCGAGUCUUAACCUUGUAGACGCACCAAGUAAUGGGACGAACACGAGGAGGAAGGGACACAAUAUCCUCUACCAUGGCAAGGCGCCAUUUGGUAUGAAUAACAUCAAGAUAAGAAGUCUGCUCAAGAAAGUGGCGCCAACGUUUCAUAGCCUAAGGCGGUCCACAUGCAAAAGUGGAAGAGGUCGCAAGCCAUAAGAAGGCCGAGACGGAGAAGAUGGCACAUCAGUAGAUGCAUCCACAACACACGAACGACGUGUAUAAAAGUGAGGCAAAUGUGGAAGAAUACGAGCAAUAAUCCCCGAGAUAAGCUCAGGUUAUGGAGACAAGGAAGUCACCGGUGAUGAAGGUUUAGAAUCCCGUGAUAAGCGAAGUGAGGAAAUCAUAGGAGAUGAUGGUGCUGAAUCUGUAAUAAUUGGAGAAGCAGGAGCAGUACGAGGAAUGGAAUAGGGCUCAACGAUAGUGAUAAGAAUGUCGGGAAAAGUGAGGUAACACAUCCUCCACUAAAAAGGUCGGGGAUGAUGGUCACACGUAGCAGGGACGAGACUCACUAAAAGUCAUACCGUGAGAAAUAGUCACCCGAUGACCAACCUGAUCCCAACAACAAUAUCUCUUAUGCUCAUUGUUGUAUCCUAUGAACACUCAACAUACUAAGUAGUAAGUUUGGUACAUUGACGAGAGGCAGUAAGGGCACAUCAAACACAACCAAACAAUUGAAGCGCUGAAUAAUCUGGAAACGAUCAAAUAGACUCUCGAAAGGAGAUGACCAUGGUGGAAGUGGAGACGCAUUCAACCCAAAAGUGUGGCGUAAGAGAGGCAGUGACCAUCCAAAAGUGUGGCGGAAGAGAGAGCAGUGACGCUGAACCUAUGAGCCGUCUCAAUAGUUGACGAUGCUUGCCCUCAGCCAUGCCAUUUUUGAGCAUGAGCACCACGAUAAGAGAACUGAGCAAGAGCACCCUGCUCAACAAGGAUUGAGCGCACCAUCUUGGAGAUUUAGUCUCCGCCGAGUCAUCACAGAAUACAAGAAUAGGCGUAGAGAGAUACUAUGUUAGCAAACAGAAGCCACAUCGAAAAGUGUGCCAAAAGUGGUCAUCUGGGCCAUACAGGAGCAAAUGUCUCAUCGUAGUCAUGACUAUAUGUUCUCACCACUAGAUGAGCUUUGUAAAGCUCUAGAGAAACAUCAUAGCCUCACCCUUUGAUGUCAUCACAUGCUGCCAUUAUGGAUGAAAAAACGUCAUGAUAAGAAGUCGUCUUGCGAAGAGCACCACAAUAACUAACCAUAGCAGGCGAGCUCGAAAGCCAUAAGUAGGCUGAUCUGGAGCUAUGUGUUGCCAACAGAAGAAUACAUAGUAAUCGAGGGAGUUGACUCAUUAGAAGAAUCCACAACACGCGAACAGUGAGUGUAGUAAAGUCAAGGAAGACGAGCAAAAGAAGGAACAUGAAAAGAGAAACUGCCAAGAGCGCCUCGACUAUCGACAGGUAGGGAAGUUACCAGGAUAAGAGAACUGAGCAAGAGCACCGUGCUCAACAAGGAUUGAAUGCAACAUCUUGGAGAUUUAUUCUCCACCAGAGUCAUCACGGAAUACAAGAAUAGGCGUAGGGAACUUGUUGUGUGCCAUGGCGUCAAAACGCUUACACAUAUAAGACCUCACUACGAAAGGAAAUAAAGUAUAUCCAGGUGUGUUGAGAGAAGUCAUCUAUAAAUAUAGUACUAGCGAUGACCUCCUUUCGAGGCGAAAGGAGGUGGGCCCCAGACAUUAGAGUGAACAAGGUUGAAAGGGUUGUUGAGACACUGUCUCGCUAUGAGCAUAAGGUAAGUAUAGCUGUUUACCAAGCCGACNNNNNNNNNNNNNNNNNNNNNNNNNNNNNNNNNNNNNNNNNNNNNNNNNNNNNNNNNNNNNNNNNNNNNNNNNNNNNNNNNNNNNNNNNNNNNNNNNNNNGCAUGCAAGCUUGCUCCCAACGCUAUGAAGGGGUUGUCAAUCCCUUAUAGAUUGUUUGCCAAGUGAGAACUGAAAGCAAAAAAGUAACAAAGCAAAGUAAAAGCGGAGGUGUAAACGAUGGAUGUGAAUAGACCCGGGGGCCGUAGUGUUUACUAGUGUCUUCUCUCAUGAAAGCAAGUAGACGGUGGGUGAACAAAUUACUGUCCAGUAAUUGAUAGAACCGCGCAAAGUCGUGACGAUAUCUAUGCAAUGAUUAUAUCUAUAGGCAUCACGUCCAAAACAAGUAGACCGAUACUUUCUGCAUCUACUACUAUUACUUCACACGUCGACCGCUAUCCAGCAUGCGUCUAGUGUAUUAAGUCCAAAAGAAUAGAGUAACGCCUUAAGCAAGAUGACAUGAUGUAGAGGGAUAAUCUCAAACCAAUGAUAAAAACCCCAUCUUUUUACCCUUGAUGGCAACUACUUGAUGUGUCCCUUGCUGCCCCUACUGUCUCUGGGAAAGGUCACCACAUGGUAGAACCCAAAACCAAGCACUUCUCCCAUUGCAAGAAUCAUAGAUCUAGUUGGCCAAACAAAACCCAAGACUCGAAGAGACUUACAAGGAUAUCAAAUCAUGCAUAUAAGAAAUUAGCAAAGACUCAAAUAUAUAUCAUAGAUAAACUGAUCACAAAUCUACAAUUCAUCGGAUCUCGACAAACACACCGCCAAAGAAGAUUACAUCGGAUAGAUCUCCAUGAAGAUCAUGGAGAACUUUGUAUUGAAGAUCCAAGAGAGAGAAGAAGCCAUCUAGCUACUAACUACGGACCCGUAGGUCUGAAGUGAACUACUCACGAGUCAUUAGAGGGGCGAUGAUGAUGAUGAAGAAGCCCUCCAACUCCAAAGUCCCCUCCGGCAGGGCGCCGAGAAGGGUCUCCAGAUGAGAUCUCGCGGAAACGGAAGCUUGCGGCGGCGGAAAAGUAUCUUCGAGGCUCCCCUGAUUUUUUGCGGAAUAUUUGGGAAUUUAUAGGCCAAAGACCUAGGUCAGGGGGCGGCCAGGGAGGCCACAAGCCUGCCCACCGCCGCCUCCCCUGGUGGCGAAGUGGGGGCUUGUGGGCUCCCUGGAGCCCACCUGGCCUCGCCCAAAGGCCCCCUGGUCUUCUUCCGUUCGAGAAAAAAUCAUUUCGAGGUUUUUCUUCCGUUUGGACUCCGUUCCAAAAUCAGAUCUGAAAAGAGUAAAAAACACGGAAAAAACAGGAACUGACACUUGGCACUGAAUUAAUAAGUUAGUCCCAAAAAAGAUAUAAAAGGUACAUAAAACAACCAAAGAAGACAAGAUAACAGCGUGAAACCAUCAAAAAUUAUAGAUACGUUCAGCCCUGCAGGAGUAGAUCAUUCACCACCACCAGAGCGCCGUCACGCUGCCGGAGAACUCAUCUACUUCUCCGUCUUGCUUGCUGGAUCAAGAAGGCCAAGAUCAUCGUCGAGUUGUACGUGUGCUGAACGCGGAGGUGCCAACCGUUCGGCACUAGAUGAGAGCGGAUCAUGGGACGGAUCGCGGGGCGGAUCGAGGGACGUGAGGACGUUCCACUACAUCAACCGCGUUUCUUAACGCUUCCUGCUGUGCGAUCUACAAGGGUACGUAGAUCCAAAUCUCCUCUCGUAGAUGGACAUCACCAUGAUAGGUCUUAUUGCGCGUAGGAAUUUUUUUGUUUCCCAUGCGACGUUCCCCAAUAGUAGGUCCGCGCAUGGUGAAAAGACCUCGAUGACGCCUAGAGGGGGGGGGGGUGAAUAGGCUAUUUAAAAGCUUCUUCAGAUUUGGCUUGAACCUAAUGCGGAAAAAAAACUAAGAGGGUACUUGUCAAGCACAAAUCCUAAAUGCACUAGGCACUGCAACGUGUAUCAACAACACGAUCUACCAAGAUGGACACAAUACAGUUACUAACAAGCACAAGUAAGUUACACAAACUUACUUGAGCUAUAUCACACGACAAGUAGGUGAACGACACAAGAUACUAGAUCACACUUUAUCACACGAUAUAUCAAGGGUUGCAAGUAUGUACGUGUGGAUAUAGAGGGUAUGCUUGAAUGAUUAAUCUUGUACAAGAAAUAGCCAACACAAUAUAAUGAGCACAAACAAUAUGCAAUGUAUGUAUGCUCAAGUAACACAAGUAAACCACAAGUAAGGAGUUAGGGUUAGGGAUAACCAAGGUCACUGAGAAGAAGAUGUAUCCCGAUGUUCACUUCCUUGGAGGGAAGCUAGUCACCGUUAGAGAGGUGGAUGUUACCACGAAGGCACACCAAUGCCACGAAGGCUCACCCUAUUCUCCCUUUGAGAUAACACCACGAAGGCGUUUCUCAACCACUAGUGGUAAGCCUUUGAGGUGGCUUCCAAACCCUCACAAACUUUUCCGCGGGAAAUCACACGGAUUGAUUCCUCUCCGAAGAACUCCUACCGCCUAGGAGUCUCCAACCUCCGAGAGUAACAAGAUCACGGGGAAUGCUCAAAACUUGCUCAAAUCACAAAUAGCUUGGGUUGAGAGAAGGAGAGGGAGAAGAUCUAUCUUUUGAUUGGAACAACUCUCAAAGGGGCUCACAAAUGCUCUUGGGAUCUAAGAUUUGGAGUGAGCAAAUGUGUGUGAGGUGGAAGUGUGUUCUUAUGAGGAUAAGGCUGUGUUGGGCCACCCUCUUACGAAGUGGGAGGGGGGUAUUUAUAGUGUGGAGAGAAAAGGAGCCGUUGGGGACACUUUAAGUCACACAGGGUCCGGACGUCCGACAGUUGUCGGAAGUCCGGGCGACCGCGAGGGGUCGGACGUCUGACAGGGGUCGAUCGUCCGGGGCCUGUAGAUACGACUGAAACUAUUUUGAAUUAAACAGCGACCGGACGUCCGACAGGGGUCGGUCGUCCGAGGCCUGUAGGUGUGCCUGAACAUGUUUGAAUCCAUCAGUAUACGGACGUCCGGAGUGGCCCGGAAGUCCGUGUUAUACAGCACAAGUUCUACUGGUGGUGGCUUCCGGAUUUCCGAUGGGUGUCGGACAUCCGGUGCUCGGGCAUCCGGAGGAAGCCGGAUUUCCGAGAUAUAGUGCACACAUUCUACUGGUGUUGACCUCCGGAUUUCCGGAGCUUGGCCGGACGUCCGGCCCUUGGACGUCCGGAGGGAGUCGGAUUACCGAGAUAUAGAACUCAACUUCUACUGGUGCAGGCUUCCGGAUUUCCGGGACUUGGCCGGACAUCCGGGCCUCGGACGUCCGGAGGGAGCCGAAAGUCCGAGUUAAAUGGCUCUGAUUUCUCGGGUAUAGGAUUUCGGAUUUCCGAAGCUGUCGGUCGUCCGGCCCUCGGACGUCCGGAGGAGGCCGGAUGUCCGAGGCACUGGUUCUGUUUUCAGAUAACAGCAGAGCAGUGGAGAUGUGGUCUGAACAUAAAGUGAAGAUGUAGUUUGAGCAAGUUCAUCGCAAAACCUGUGAUCCCCUCUUAAUAGUGCGGGAUCCCUAAGGACUCAAGAAUCAUAAAAGAGUACUGAUGAUCCAUACUUGAGUGUAUACUUUUAUUCGCUGAUCAUCACUCCGCACAACUAACGUCAAAGGAACUGAUACCUUUGAGUUAGCCCUUUCACUUGAGCUUGAUGUUGUUGUUCCUUCUUGGCUCAAGUUGAAAGCAAGACAUGAUGAAGUCUUCAAGUAGCUUUCCCAUACACAAUGCGGAAAGCCUAGCUUAUGUAUUCAUCUUCAUUUGUCCACCAUGUGAACAUCCACAAGAAUCAAGCAUGAAGUUCUCAAGAAUGCUUAUCUUGAUCUUGUCCUGUCCACCAUGUGAACAUCCACAAGAAUCAAGCAUGUAGUGCUCAGGAAUGCUUAUCUUGAUCUUGUCCUUGUUAGCACAUGAGGUUGUCCUUGUCAGCACAUGAUCAUUGACAAUAGUUUCAAUGAUAUAUUCGUGCUGAUCCGCUUGAACUUGCACACCACAAUCUUGAUGACGAUCACCACUUGACGUCAUCCUUCAUGGGUUGUAUGAGAUCUUCCUUUUGACGCAAGCCCAAUGGAAGCACACCUAACCCCCAUAUAGGAGUCUCACAAAGACCAUGGGUUAGUACACAAACACGUAAUGGACAAUGCUUACCAUACCAUGGGAUCACUUGAUCCCUCUCGGUACAUCUUAUACGCUUUGUGUGUUGAUCAUCUUGAUUUACUCUUUGCCUGAGAUCUUGAUCAACCUAGUGUUUCUAUGACCAUUCUUUGGAUAAUGCCUUGAAUAACAUCUUGGCCAUCAUAUAAACUCCUUGAACCUAACAGAUGGACUUCAAGAAGUGCCUAUGGACAAAUCCUAUAAAUAUAACUUAAGGCAACCAUUAGUCCAUAGGAAUUGUCAUCAAUUACCAAAACCACAUAUGGAGAUAUAUGCUCUAACACAUGGCCCGCCCCAAUCCCUCUAUAAGCAGAGGGUUUCACGUGCGAGACAAGGUCCACAAGAAAGAGGACGAGAGAAAAAUCUCAAUUGACCGCCUCUGCCGCUACACAUCCACGUCAUCAGCGCGAUGAUUCCCAACAUCUCCGGUCUCUACCCUCCAGAACCACUUCGGCACCGCCGCAGCCGGCCGCUGGCAGCGGCAAAUUCGACGACCUCUUCUCCGCCAACACCGCAGACCAUCUCACGCUCGAAUUCCCAACCUCUCCAUCUUAGAGAACCACUUCGGCGGCGCCGCGACCGGCAGCCACGACUUCGACGACCUCUUCUCCGUCGACACCGCGGACUAGCUCACCCUCGAGUUCUCCACGUGCAACCACGUGUGUGAGCCUUCCCCUCCCCCAAUCCCCCUUUCUCUCCGUCGGCCUUUGAUCCGUUCACGCCCCGUUUUCGUUUCCCGGUGGCAAUUCAAUGGGUUCGAGAAGGUGACCAAGGAGGUGGUGAACAACAAGAUGGGGACGACCAUGCUCUCCUUCAUCUUUGAUAAGGGCGUCAUCGUCGCCGCCGACUCCUGGGCCAGCAUGGGCAGGGUCAUGGACGGAGAUAGCGUAUUCGCACGGUGGGCCGUGGCCCACCCAGAAGUUAGAGAUUUUUUUACUAUGUAUUAGUAAUUCACCCCAGCCCAGCCCACAACCAUCUAGGUUGCUUCUCGCACUGGUUGUUGGUCGUGUGUGGGCAGACAUGUUCCUCCUCUCGCCGCCUCCUGUAUCCCUCCCCUUGCAUGGAAUGAGAUCCUCUGACUUAGGAAGUUCUACUGCCGAGGGACGUCCUUCUCGCUGCACCGUCCAUCAGCAAUCCAACGCUACUCACAGGAAUUACAACCUGCGCCAGCUUUUCACUCGGAUGGAAACAAAAUAAGUGGCCCAUCGGCUCAGUCCGAUGCUUGUAUGCUUACUUGAAUGCGUGCUACUGUCUGAUUUUGCACACACACAAGUUGUGUGCUUACUGGAACAUGUAAAAAAGCAGGAACAUUUUCUUUGCACACACACAAAUUUUGUGCUUACUGGAACAUUUAAGAAAACAGGAACAUUUUGUUUGCACACAAACAAGUUGUCUGUUUACUGGAACAUUUAAGAAAGCAGGAACAUUUUCCAUACAAAUGUAUUCAACUCUACACAUGUACAAAAACCUUCUAAAUCUGACCAAUUCUGCAAAGUAGAAGUACAAACUAGAACACAUAAUUCAAUCAUAACAUUCACUCAAAAUGUUGUUGCAACUUCUCUCUUUUUACUCUGGAAACCCUCGUACACAACACAUAAUGCUAGCCGCAGAGUAGAUGGCCCGUAGAUGCCUUGACGACCUUGGCUUCGUGGCCUCGACAGCUCGGCCGUGUCAACGACGCCGGCUCCGCAGCUCCAUGGCCUAGACGACACCGACUUCGGAGCUCCACGGCCUCGACGAGGCAUCACGCCAUGGAUGAGGCAACUGCUGGCUCCGCUGCAUCCAAUGCUAAGCAGCCUCAUGGCUGGAUCCGCCGCCUCCACGGCUAGGUGGCGUCGCGUCCUUCCCGCCGACGAACAUUAAGGCGAGGCGAGAGUUUUUUUUAUAACAAGAUGAGAGCUCAGGCGAGCGAUGUAUCGAUGGUGCCGCCCUGUUGGGCCACAUGGGCCGCUUGUGUUCGUGUGGACACGAACGGGAGAGAAGAAAAGAACGCAAUCGUCAGAUCCAUAUCUGACCAAACGGGCCGGCCCCGGCCCGACAACCCGCGUGCCUCGCACGACACAGGCCCGGCUCGGCACGGGCUAAUCGUGCUCGGGCCCGGCACGAAGCACACCGUACCUGGGCCUGGAGGCUGGACGCGCGGGCCGACACGACCCAUUUAUUUAUUUUAUAUAUUUUUAAUAUAUAUAUAUAUACAAAAAUAUGACCCAAUAGACAAAAAUAAAUCCAUAGGGCUAAAAAAUACGGCUCAGCGUGCUAAUCAGCCAACAUGCCGGCCUGUAUAAUGAUCAGUCUGUGCCUGGGCCGAAAGACGCAGCCACGGACCGAUACGGCAUGGCCCAAUUAAUAACCGUGCCUGAACGGACCUGCCGUGCCAGGGCCGAUUACCACGGGCCGUGCUGGCCCGUUUGGGCAGGUCUGGUCAGAUCGUGAACGAACGGUGCAGGAACUCGAGGAUCUCGAGGAUCUCGUUCCCUCUUGCACGGCUCGCCGCUUGCCUCCUCUCGCCGGCCGCCGCUCGCCCCUCCCCUCCUCUCGCCGGCCGCCGCUCGCCCCUCCCCUCCUCUCGCCGGCCGCCGCUCGCCCCUCGCCCCUCGCCAUGUCGUCCCGCCCAGGCGCCCACAGCCGCCGUCGUCACUCCAGGUCCUCAGUGCGGCUGGCCGGCUGCGGGCUGCGGCUGGAUUAAUCCGCCCCUGCUGCGCCUCCCUCAACGCCGGACGGCUUCAAGGCUCAAGCCCUCAACUGCAUCAAUCUCAUCGGCUUCCCCAACCUCCUGUUGAACAAAUCAGCAAGGUAAGAUUUGUGUACAACUGAUUUCCUGCUUCCUAGUAAAUUGAUGCCAAAUCAGUACAGUAGCAGACUGAUUUCCUGGACUAGAUAGAACUAUUUGUGUAGAACUGAUUUGGUAUGCUGCUGCUGGCAAUUAAAUGCGAGAAUAGUUUGAAAACUAAACCAUACCUCAACCAAACCUAUAGGAAUAAACGUGGCAACCCAAACCAAACUAAACCCAGUUGAUAUUUAUGUCAGCCCAACCAAAACCAAACCAACUUGAAUCUGUACCCAAAUUGAACUGAAACUGAGUGCUUACCUGUGGUUGAAACCAUUUGCUGAAAUGGUUUGAAAACCAUUUGAGUAGUAAUAAGAACCAUCCUUGUAUGGCAUAUCCCUUAUAUCUCACUGUAACUUGACAACAGCGGCUGGCAGCCACGGAGGCAGGCCCAGAGAGUCGCGUGCGAGCAGCACUCGACGACAUCGGCUACGGACGCAGGUGCAAAUAGCUGCGCGCGGGCGGCGCUCGACAGCAACGGCCAUGGAGGCCACUCCGGCAAGCUGUGGAUGAUGGUAGCUCCGGCAAAGGCGGGGCCGACGAGCCACGCGCGAGCAGCUCUGGCGAAGGCGGGUGCGGCGAUCCACACGCGAGCAGCUCCGGCAAACGUCGGACAGGCGAGCGACGGCGUUGAGGUCCGAUGUGUGGAGAAGAAUAGUCUCAAGAACCAACGUCAACAACCGGGCAUGAACUGCGGGUCUGAACUUUUUUGAGCUGGACCUAUUCAGGCCUAUAACCAACCAUACCCAACCAUUUGUUGUAAGAAACCGAACUGAACCAAACUCUUGUCAGAGUCAACCUAUUAACACCUGAACCAAGCGAAACCGUCAGCAGAAACCAAACCGAUACACCUGGUUAAUCCAAAACCAUUCUCAGAUUUACUGGCAAUGAUGUUUUUAUUGAUGAUAUGAGACAAGAUGAUUUCAGAUCUGUGCGUAAUAUUGGUGAACUCUCUGUUAUGCUUGUUAGUACAAACAAACAUGUUCUCUAUGAUUUGAUCUACAUGCUUAUCAAAUUGGUAUUGAUCUUACCGGUGGCCAUGGCGAGUGUUGAAAAGAGUAUUUUCAGCAAUGAGUCUAAUGAAAAAUAAGUUGAGAAAGAGUAUGAGUGAUGAUCUCAUGAACAAUUGUUUAGUCACAUUCAUUGAGCGAGACGUGUUCUUGAAAGUAAGCGAGGAAGACAUAGUUGAAGCUUUCAUGGCAAAGGAACAUCGUGGAGUUAAAAAGUAAGCAAGGAAGACAUAGUUGAAGGUUUCACGGCGUAGUUUCUACAUGCCUACAUUUGUGUAUCUUUUAUGUAAGACUAUUUAUAUUUGCAAUGUUGCAAAUUUGGAAUAUUUGGGAACUAUACUGUUGUCUACUUGAUUGGGCCAUCUGUAUUAUAUUUUUGCCAAUUAUUGUAUGACACUUGGAUUAGGUAGGAAAAGAAAUUUAGGUGUGCACACCCUCCAUUUCUUUUCUGGCUCCGCCACUGGGCGGGGUAAACAUGUGAGUCCCUUGUCCCUUGGCCUCGCAUUCCAGUACUAGGGUUUGGCGGUGCGGGGAUUUGAUUUGCUGGCGGGGAUGCGUGAUUUAGGGUCAGGAUGUUUAUAGAUCUCCUAGCGAAAUUUGGUUCCUUUGUCCGUUGAAUUAUCUCUGGGAGGACACUUUGGUGGCUAGGGGUGUGUUUCUUUACUCUUGCGUACUAGGGCUAUACAUUUUCAUAUCUAGUAAUUCAGGGCAGUGAUUCAUACUUCUAUGAAAUCUCAAACCAACUUGAUUUGGGUGUGAAGAACUUCUGUUUUAGUGUACAACAGAAAAAAAAUAUAACAACCUCACAAUAGCCGAGCCACCAACUGCAGUGCCAUAACCUCACACCAGUUGUGGUGACCGUGCUUGGAUAUGGUGGUUCAUUUGGAUUACGUGGUGAAUAAAAAAAAGAAACUGAUUGAGUUUGGAUGCUAAUUAUCUGUAGGAACUGAGAAGGGAGGUACUCUGUAGUGGAAUUGGUAAUGAUAGGGAGUUGUGAAUUGAUGUGGUACUGAUAUCACGCACACAAAAUGAUAGUUUCUAUUACUUACCAUUUAAUUCAAGUCUGCUUAUCUGAAGAUCCAACAUUUAUGCAUAUUGAUUUGUGUCUGUGUGGUUUGGAGAAAGCCAAAUAGAAAGCUGCUGUUAUUGUAUAAUCUCUAUGUUUCCACAAGUGCUGAUCCUUCUGUAAAGUUGCCCUCACAUGUUUGUUAGUCGUUCUAGAAGGUUUUUGCUUGAUGCAAGGAUCAUCACUUUAAACAUUCAUCAGAAUGUAUUUCUGUUUUUACAUGAUUCUGUGUUUCCUUUUCUGCAGCUUCACAACUGUGAGGAAAAUUGUCGAGAUUAAUCCCUACACGCGGAACUGUGGCUUGUGGGCUGCUGAUUGCCAAUUUUGGCAUAGGAACUUGGGGGUUAAGGUAAAAUGUCACCUGCUUGUCUACUUGCAUAGUACUAAUUGAGUGCCCAUGCGUUGCCACGAAAUAUUAUAUUUAUCUUCUUCAGCGUCUACUAUGUUAUCCGUUUGUCUGUCCACGUCCCAUAGGAAUACAAGCUUUAUUCUUUCUCCUAUUUUUACUCUUGCAUGUCCAUGAAUUUUAUCACAGCUCCAUCUGUUAUGUGUUGCCACUUUGCUCACAAUCGCUCAUGGGUGUUGGCAUAUGAUACGGAAGAAGAAAUUUGUCUAUAUAGAAAAUAAGUUCUCAGGAUUGUAACUAUACAAAGCAUCAUUUUCCUUCUCCAUUGUCUGCCUCUGCCAUCACUUACUUUGUUUCACAAUUUUCAACGCAGCCAUAGAAUAUCAAAAUUACCAAGUCGCAACUACUACAAAAUGAUUUUAACCACUACCUUUUUCCGUAUAUGUUAUUUGUCAAUCAUAUUUCAACCUACACUAUUUAAACUUUAUUUCUCUGUGCUCUUACUAAGUCUACAAAAACAAAAUACACAAAUAGCAAAUCUAAGUAUGCUCUAGAUAUUCAACAUGUGAGACAAUAGGUGAAAAAGACCAGCAAAGCAUCAUUCUGGAAAGAAGAGAUAUCAACUUUGGAUUUGAAUCUUUCACAUUUUAUCACAAAGAAAGACAGCUAAAUACUCACUUCCAAUGGAUGUGGCACAAACGGAAGGAACCAAGCUGGGCUGAGUGCAAGUCUUGUCUUCUUCAUCUGCAUAGAUUGAUAAUGUAGGGUCUAUGUACAGUUGAUUACGCUCGAACUAUCUUGUAUGGGCAAAAAUAAUAAUUAUUCAGAUCUUUCUAUUUUAUAAUUAGCAUGUGAAUUUUCUUUGGGAUGGGCAGUUAGUAUAGUUAUAUAUUCGGUAAGAAAUUAGGGCACAAAUGAUGCAAAUUCACAUGAAGUUUUUUUUCAAGGAUACGUCAAGAUUGACAUAUCGAGAUCAUAAAUAGAAGAUGCCAAGAAGGCAGCUUUUGUACAACUCCUCCACGGCUCAGCGAGCCAGACACCACAUGCAAACACCACAUGCAGACUACUCGCUACUCUCUACCGUUCCUACCCUAAUAGGCAAUGAUCUAGGAUCUCGCAGCAGCCUUGCGACCCUCCAAUCUUGAGCCUCAAUUCAAUCGGCCUCAGCACCGUUGCCGCAUCCGGAGAAGCCCCGUUGAAGUUUAAUAUAAUGCAAGCAAAAGUUAUAUAGACUACAAAAUAAUGGAACUUUUUGUUCUUCAGGCAAGCUGGAAUGUUCUUGCAUCACCAGUGAAUGUGCUGCUACCUAUAAUAUUGAUUUUAACUUUAGAAGAAAUAAGUAGACAUCAAAAUAAACUCAUAAAAUAAUAGCACGACCAAUACCACAAUCGAGAAGUACGCUAGAUGGUCUCUCCUAAAAUAAUUUUGUGAUAUUAAGCGAGCUAAAUCAUGCGUUUCACAUCUCUCUCUCUUGGUCAGAAAUAGUUUUGUACUCCCUCCGUCCCAUAAUAUAAGAUCAUUUAGCUGUUUUAGCUUGCAAAAUGUUCAUAUUUUAUGGGACGGAGGGAGUAAUUUACAGGACAUGACAAACCCAGAACAUGAUAAAUCUAAAAUAAUAUCUAUCUUACAAAUGCGAACAUCUUUUAUGUUGUAAUAGUCAAACUUACAUCUUUUUUACUGCAUGUUCUGUAGUAGGACAUCUGUUUACGAAACGGAAGAUAGCAUACUUGUGGCUGCACAAACAAUUAUAUUCUUUACAUCGAGCUAAAAGAACGACGGAAAAGAUAUUUACUUGCUAGACUAAAAGAUCGAUGGAAAAAAUAUUUCUCAAGUUUAACUCUUAUCAAUUUUACCUCGACAAAGAGGCAGAUCAUUAAUAUUACAACCAACAUUUCAUUUGCAUGGUACUCAGUCUGCACCGAUGUGAAUCCUAUAUCCCAUCAUCUGUGACUAAAGUCCCAAGACGCUAUCUGAAUUGUGUGCUACCACAAGUGAAAUCCACCUCGAACUGCCAAUAUUUGGAUCACAUUGAUGCACAAUGGUUGUAGACACAAUCCAGUCUUCUAUUGACUAAAUAUCAGAACAAGAUUAGUAACUCCGUUAAUGCACGUAAAUACAGAUAAACAAAAUAUCUAUCAAGACUUCAAUGACGACAUGCCUGCAGCAUUCUUGAAUUUGCAUUACUAAGUACCCCCUCCGUCCCAAAAUAAGUGUCGCUGAUUUAGUACAUUUGUACUAAAUCAGCGACACUUAUUUUGGGACGGAGGGAGUAUAAACAGAACUGAAGUUUAACCAAGAACAUUACAUCGUUAUAUUUCUUUACAGAAUUAGCCCACCGCUGUGAUUACAAUGCUAAUUGUAGUAAUUUUUAGAUUCAACUAUGUUAUACUUCCUUCGUCCCAAAAAGCGCGACUUAGAUUUGUCUAGAUAGAGAUGUAUCUAAACACGUUUUAGUGUUAGAUUCAUCUGUAUCUAGAUAAAUCUAAGACAAACUUUUUGGGACGGAGGUAAUAGAACUGAAGGUGCCUACACUAAAUUUCUCCAAAAUUUCUAAAGGAAGCAAAAGAUAAGAAAAUAUUUGCCCUAAGAUUUCUCCAAGAAAUGCAUACCAGAAGCAAAAUUAAUAUAUCGAUGUAGAUGACUUUAAUCUUCAUGUAAAGGUGGAUCAACUGCCAUACGGGUCCAGGCACAUCCUCAUAAACUUGGUUGAUGUUGUUGUGGUUAAUCUAGUCUUGUUUCUUGCCGCCGGUUUCUAUGAAAAGAAACCAACAGAACUAAAGUUCACUUUAAUAUAAAGUUUUAGCUGCAGCGAGAAAAGAGUCGCCAAGCUCUUGUACAUUUGGUCGUUGGACAAAAGCUUAGCGAGAAAAUUAUGGAUAAAUGAAGAAAGCUAGAUCUGUCCAUAUAGUGCAAGAAACAAGUAGUGAGCGAGACAAAAGCUUAGUGAUGACAAAGGAAUACAUUGGUAUUGAAGACAAACACCAGGCAAGCCUAACAAAUCGACUCUUCCACCCUUUCAGUGGCGGCGAGCAUGGACCAUGAGAACUCCAAGAACCUCUCUUGAAUCCAUGGCUUACGUACAACUGGAGUAGCUGCUGCGGUGCCUUUGUUCGAUGCGUUGGGAAGUAGGUAGAGAUGAAGGUCGUACAUGACAUAGAAGACGUGAGCUACAUCUUGCAUCUACAAACGAGGGCGACCUAGGCUUGUGUUCGACAAUGCAAUUCUUGGUUGGUGUGUUCGAUAGCAACCAGGGCAGCGAUGCGAGGCGUCGACGACUGGACACAAUAGUAACCCUAGUUGGUCGAGCUCGCUCUUCACGAGAGAGGAAGAAGAAAUCAGGUUGGGGCGAGCAAGUCCAUGAGGCAGGGGCAAGACAUGGUGGGUCCACUCAUCGGCGAGAAUUUGUUUGAGAGAGGGGGAAGACAAACGAACAUGCGAAUCAACGUACUACGGCCUACCAUCAUAACCUCACUCCCCUUUAAUAGUAAACAUAGUAUGAAUAACAGUAGUUUCUUCCUUCAGAGGUUCAUGAGCUCCAUGAGCUCGUGAACAAGCAAAGGAUCUCUAUUGUUGGUUCUUUAAACACGUUGGCUAAUAUCCUGUAUUUUCAUACCGUAGGAUGGUACUUUCAGUCGGUACAAUGAUUGUUGGAUUUGAUGGAACUGUGAGUGGCCCUUUGACAUAUUUUAGUGUCUUUAAGAUGUACUUAGGUCUAUGCUUAACAAUUCUGCUCUUUUUCUUGGGUUCGAUCUUGGUACUAUGUUGAUAAGCGAGGGUGCAAGGCUCAAGGAAGCCGGUUCUCUAGCUCUCUGUAUAUUUAUUGUAUGCUUAUGGUAUCUUGGAUGAGGGGUAUGUUUUUUUAUACUUCCAUAUGUUGCUUUGCUAAUUGUUUAUAUUAUUUUGAAGUUGGAUCCCUUAUGUUUGUGUUUUACAUUUCAGUUACAAAUUCAACAUGUCAGUUGAGGCUAUUGAGUGAGCAUGGCGGGCUUUUAUCACACAAUUCCGUGACGGAGCUAGUGGUGGCAGUGUUCGUGGUGGUAUGCAUUCUAUUUCUUAGGGCCAGUUCUUUUGACGGCUUAAAAAAUAAGCCGCCUCCUCUCUAGCUUUUUCCAUAAGCCGCCUUCAUCAUUCAUUGAGGCUUUUGAACUAUUUGUGAAAUUGCAAGUUUAGAAGCCUCAACAAAUUUUGAGAGCGGCUUAAGCUGGGAAAGGCAGCUUAUUUUUUAAGCCACCCAAAAGAACUGACCCUUAGUAUCUAUCCUGAUAUUUAUUUUGUUCACUCGAUAAGAAUGGUACACCAUGCAUGCAUAUUUGUUAAACACCUUGUCAUUGUAUCUUCCUUUUGAAAUCUCAAACAUAACUGUUUAUUGAGUUACAAUUACUUUCGUAAGUUUUUGGCAAAGUCCAGAGUUUUUUGUAUUUUCCAUCACGUAAUUCACACCCCUGGGUUGUGCUUAGAGAUUACCGUCCAGACGACGGUAAUAAAUUAAAGCACACCCUUCUAUUUAGUGUUGUAGAGUAUAGACAUGGGUGUAGACAUCUAGUCAAAGCUACCUAGGAUUUCUAAAACAAUAUUAAUUAGUCCCUUCUGUACCUAAAUAAUUGUAGUCCAACUAUAAUUAUUUAGGUACAGAGAGAGUAUAUGAUGGUUGCAUGUACUUCCUCCGGUCCUUUUUAGUCUGCAUAUUAGCUUUGUCCGAAGUCAAAGUAUCUCUACUUUGACCAAAUUUAUAGAAACAUGUGUCAACAUUCACAAUGUCAAAUUAAUACUGUUAGAUUCAUUACGAAAGGUAGUUUCAUGAUAUGUAUAUUUGAUAUUGUAGAUGUUGAUAUUUUUCAAUAUAUAUUUGGUCAAACUUUGUAAAGUUUGACUUGACCCAAAUCCAAUAUGCGGAGUAAAAAGGACCGGAGGGAGUAAAUUACAUGCGCAGAUUUAUUCCUUUCUUUCGUACGACUUACAUGUUGGUAGUUUCUAGAAAUAUGGUGUGAUGUAUAAAGAAUUAUGGUAAAUGCUGUCUAGUGUUUGGGUCAAAUUAUUAUUUGAAAGUCGGGGUUAAAGUUUAUUGAGAAAAGAAGAUUAUAAUUUGGGCUUGAUAGAGUAUGACCAUAUCCCACUCGGUUCUGUUAUGCAAACGUGGUCCACUUUGGAGAAGAAUAUACCAACCAUUGUGGUAGUGAGCCUAACUCACCUUAACAAUUCUAUUUGGGCCUCAUUCCCCUAAUACGCUAGACUAUUUCUGGUAGUCACUUCAUGAUACGAGAGAGGGAAGGCCAGCGGCCAUGGCAACAUAGUCCCCCCGGUUGUUCAUGCCACUUGAGAGGAUGAAGGCUCUAGCGACAUCGUGCGAGAGGCAUUAGCGCUAGCGAGUUCGCCACCAUCCUAGCCGCGAAAGCAAUGUCGUAGAGCAUAUAGUGGAGGGUAGAGCUGGACGGUGGCACGGCGGUGUUAACGUUGCAGGAGGAGGUGCACUUGUACGGGGCACUGCAGUCUGGUUCUUCAUUGAAGGGAUCGCUAGCCCACGUAGCAUCAUGUGUUGGAGGAGGAGGUACACUCAUACGGGGCGCACUACGGUCUGGUUCUUCUUCCAAGCAAUUAGAGAACCACUAGAAAUGCACAGUAAGCAAAAAGUGAACGACGAUCCAAGGGAUCACUAGCCCACGCAACAUCAUGCAUGGAGCUAUAAUGAAUGGGAACGGGAAAAAAUAGAUAGUGAUAGAUCGUGCCACGAAAAUAUCAAAAAACACAAAGAAGAUGGCUAGUGAGCCGAAGUGGGGGUAGAGACAAACUUACUCAAAAUAUGGACAUGAUAGUAGAUAUCCGGGCGAGUGUCAGCUUAGAAGACUCCCAACAAGAUGAUGAUAACGUGUCAAAGCAGACAAAGGGUCACCAUCAUUAGCACGGUGAUGAAUAUUGAGCUACAUGGGAGUCAAUGACGCACUCAUCAUUAAGAGAAACACAGUAAGAACAGCACGAGCAAGAAGAUCUUGGAUUACUUUUCUUCACUAACAAGAGACUUUGAUCCCAAGAAAGUAACAAAGUGGGCCAAUAUUAGACAUAAGAAACUGCUCACUAAUACGUGCCUUCACAAAGGCAAUAUACUCAGUCUCUUCGCUAGUGGUGAACAUGUCAUCAACUUAUAGAAGAAGAGUACGACCAAGAGCAGAAAGGUGGAUCAACAACAGAUCAUGGGUACUCGUUGAAACCAACGACAAGCACCGCAAAGGCAAAACGCUCAAAGCAGACAAGAGGGCUUGCUUCCGGCCAUGGAGAGCGACGUACACGACAAAUCAUGUCGUACGGAACAUAAUACCUAGGUGGUGGCUGCAUAUAAACCUCCUCGCAUAGCUCACAAUUAAGAAAGACAUUUUUAACAUCAAGUUGAGAUAUAGAACAAUGGCGAAUGUGCAAAAAAUGGUCAUAUGUUUCACAUGAGCAAAAAGCCACGAGCCACAAGACGAGCUUUGUAACACUCAACAUAACCAUGAGAGCGUCUUAACAAGUGACGGCACGAACACAAAGAGGAAGAGAAACAAGACCCCAGGUGCUGCUGCGUUCAAGAGCAGCAAUCUUUUUUAAUAUCGCAAACUGCCAUUUUGGACGAACAACAACACCGCAAUAAGAAGUCGGCUCAAGAACAGUAGCGUCAGCGCUUGAAAUAUCAAGGCGGUCAAUUGGUGGAAAUAGAUGGGAACGCAAGUCGUAAGUAGGCCGAGACGGGGAAGAUGGCACAUCAUUAUACACAUACACAACACGCGGUCAUUGAGUGUAAACGUGAGGAAAAGAUGAAAUGAUACGAGGGGGAAUCAUCGGGGUAAACUCAGGUGAUGCAGACAAGGAAGCCACCGAUGAUGAAGGUGUAAAAUCCCGCGAAGUGAGGUCUGGAAAUCAUAGGAGAUGAUGGCGUUAGAUCUGCUAUAAGCCUAUAAUCGGAGAAGUGAAUGGAUAAGGGCUCAACAGGAAUGAUAGGAGUGUCAGAAAAAUUGUGGAAAGAGAUAUAUCCUGCAAUGAAAAGGUCGAGGAACAUGAAUGCGUGUAGAAGGGAUGAGACUAAUCGAAAGUCACAACCUGAGAAAUAGGCAUCCGUCAACCAACGUGAUCUCAACAACGAUAUCCCUUAUGCUCAUCGUCGUAUCCUAAGAGUACACUAAACAAACUGAGAAGUUAGUUUGGUGCAUUCACAAGGAGAAAGAAGAACAUAGCAAACACAACCAAACAAUUGAAGCGUCUGGAAACAAUUAAAUAGACUCUCGAAAGGAGACGGCUAUGUACAGUGGAUUAGAUUGUCGAAGGUUGAUGAGAUAGAUGGAAGUGGAGACAGACUCGGCCCAAAAAUGUGGCGGAAGAGUGAGCAGCGACAUUCAACCUACGAGCCGUCUCAAUAGUUACCUUGCUUGCCCCCAACCAUGCCAUUUCUGAGCAUGAGCACCAGGAUAAGAGAACUGAGCAAGAACACCCUGCUCAACAAGGAUUGAACGUAACAUCAUGGAGAUUUAUUCUCCACCAGAGUCCUCAUAGAAUACAAGAAUAAGCGUAGAGAACUUGGUGUGAACCAUGACAGCAAAAUGCUUACACAGAUAAGACCUCACUACGAAAGGAAAUAAAGUAUAUCCAUGUGUGUUGAGAGAAGUCAUCAAUAAAUAUAGUACAAGACGAGCUUUGUAACGUCCAAGAGAACCAUCAGAGCGAGUCUUAACCUAGUAGAUGCACCAAGUAAUGGGACAAACACGAGGAGGAAGGGAAACAAUAUCCCAUGUGCUGAUGUGCUCAACAGUAACAAUAUCCUCUACCAUCUCAAGGCGCCACUUGGUAUGAAUAACAUUAAGAUAAGAAGUCUGCUCAAGAAAGUAGCGCCAACGUUUCAUAGACUAAGGCGGUCAACAAGCAAAAGUGGACGAGGUCGCAAGCCAUAAGAAGGAUGAGACGGAGAAGAUGGCACAUCAGUAAAUGCAUCCACAACACACGAACGGCGUGUUUAAAAGUGAGGCAAAUGUGGAAGAAUACGAGCAAGAAUCCUCGAGAUAACCUCAGGUUAUGGAGACAAGGAAGUCAUCGGUGAUGAAGGUUUAGAAUCCCGUGAUAAGCGAAGUGAGGAAAUCAAAGGAAAUGAUGGUGAUGAAUUUGGAAUAAUUGGAGAAGCAGGAGCAGUACGAGGAAUGGAUUAGGGCUCAACAAUAGUGAUAGAUUAUGUAAAGGAUAUCCUCCAUUGAAAAGGUUGGGGAAGAUGGUCACAGGUAGAAGGGAGUGGACUCAUCAAAAGUCAUACCAUGAGAAAUAGUCACCCGAUGACCAACAUGAUCCUAACAACAAUAUCACUUAGUCUCAUUGUUGUAUCCUAUGAACACUCAACAGACUAAGCAGUAAGUUUACAUUCAUGAGAGGCAGUAAGGACACAUCAAACACAACCAAACAAUUGAAGCGCUGAAUAAUUUGGAAACGAUCAAAGACUCUUGAAAGGAGAUGACCAUGGUGGAAAUGUAGACGUAUUCAACCCAAAAGUGUGGCGUAAGAGAGGAAGUGACCAUCCAAAAGUGUGGCGGAAGAGGGAGCAGUGACAUUCAACCUACGAGCCGUCUCAAAAGUUUGCAAUGCUUGCGCUGAGCCAUGCCAUUUCUGAGCAUGAUGAGCACGAGGAUAAGAGAACUGAGCUAGAGCACCCUGCUCAACAAGGAUUGAAUGCAACAUCUUCGAGAUUUAUUCUCCACCAGAGUCAUCACAGAAUACAAGAAUAGGCGUAGAGAACUUGGUGUGAACCAUGGCAGGAAAACAUUAACGUAGAUAAGACCUCACUACGAAAGGAAAUAAAGUAUAUCCAGGUGUGUUGAGAGAAGUCAUCUAUAAAUAUAGUACUAGCGAUGACCUCCUUUCGAGGCGAAAGGAGAUGGACCCGAGACAUCAAAGUGAACAAGGUUGAAAGGGUGUUGAGACACUCUCUCGAUAUGAGCAUAAGGUAACUAUAACUGUUUGCCAAGCCGACAACCAUAGGGUUUAGAGACAUCGUCGGAGACUGAUCCAAGAAGACCACGUCAAACCAAGGAUGCAAGAUGAGAGCCACACAAAUGACCCCAGGUGACGAUGCCACUUCUAAACAUAACUGGUAGACAAGGUAACAGUGGUGCAAAGACUAGGGGCUGUAGCAGCAGUGUCACUUGAUCCAGCAUCCUAGGUGCCUGUGCACUCUUCGUUACCCGUCGAUCGGCUUGGUGUGCUUCUCCUGUUUGUGGGUUGUGUGCCACGCACUUGAUUAAGCACCCCACAUUCUCCUACAGUGCAUCGUUGACCCUGGCUUUAGGUAGCGUUGUGUCCUCGGCUUGCCGUGCAUAAUCCAGGUACGCGUCGACUAUCCGAGCUCCUGCUCACCAUUGGUGUUUGCUCGAGUGUGGGUUCUCGUGUCGCCCAUAAAGGGCACGGGAUGUGGGAUCGAGAUAGUUCACAUAGCAACCCACAACAAGGCAAUGGAUGCCCAUCCAGACUGACAGGGAGCGGAGGUGGACACAAAAAGAUGGAUGUUGACUCCAUAGGAGUCUCCAUAGUACGCUCGUCCGUAAGAGCAGCAGGAGCAAGAAGAUCCUGGAUAUACUUGUCUUAACAAAUAAAGAAGCCUUCGAAGGUAGACUCAGGGAAGUAGCGAUGAGGACCAAGGUCAGAGAUAAGAAACUCACUAUGACGAGCCUUCACAAAGGCAAUGUACUUAAGAGUCGUGCAGUAUCAUGAGCACUCGCUGAAAAAUGAGUUGCAUUAACCAAAGAGACAACGCUCAAACUAGGCAUGACGGGUUUGCUUAAGACCAUAUAGAGAACGCCGAAGAUGACAAACCAUGACUGCUGGAAAAGAAUACCCAAGUGGUGGGUACGUGUAGGCAUUGUUGACAUCAAGGGUAGAGAGAGAGAUACUAUGUUGGCAAACUGAAGCCACAUCGAAAGUGUGCCAAAAGGGCUCAUCUGGGCCAUACAGGAGCAAAUGUCUCAUCGUAGUCAUGACUAUAUGUUCUCACCACUAGACGAGCUUUGUAAAGCUCUAGAGAAACAUCAUAGUCUCACCCUUGUGGGCCUAGUUACAGUGAUGAGACGAGCAAGAGGAGGAAGGGAAAUGAGAGUCGACUAGCCGACGAGGUGAAGAGCAUUUGAUGCCAUCACAUGCUGCCAUUGUGGAUGAAAAAAAUGUCAUGAUAAGAAGUCUUCUUGUGAAGAGCACCGCAAUAACUAACCAUAGCAGUCAAUAGGCAGAAGCGGGCGAGCUCGAAAGCCAUAAGUAGGCUGAUCUGGAGCUAUGUGUUGCCAACAGAAGAAGACAUAUUAGUCGAGGGAGAUGACUCAUUAGAAGAAUCCACAACACGCGAACAGUGAGUGUACAAAAGUCAAGGAAGACGAGCAAAAGAAGGAACAUGAAAAGAGAAACUGCCAAGAGAGCCUCGACUAUCGACUGGCAGGGAAGUUACCAGGAUAAGAGAACUGAGCAAGAGCACCCUGCUCAACAAGGAUUGAAUGCAACAUCUUGGAGGUUUAUUCUCCAGAAGAGUCAUCACGGAAUACAAGAAUAGGCGUAGAGAACUUGGUGUGAACCAUGGCAGCAAAACGCUUACACAGAUAAGACCUCACUACGAAAGGAGAUAACGUAUAUCCAGGUGUGUUGAGAGAAGUCAUCUAUAAAUAUAGUACUAGCGAUGACCUCCUUUCGAGGCGGAAGGAGGUGGACCCCAGACAUCAAAGUGAACAAGGUUGAAAGGGUUGUUGAGACAUCAAAGUAAACAAGGUUGAAAGGGUUGUUGAGACACUGUCUCGCUAUGAGCAUAAGGUAACUAUAGCUGUUUACCAAGCCGAGAACCCAGACAGUUUAGAGACAUCGUCGGAGACCGAUCCAAGAAGACCAUGUCAAACUAAGGAUGCGAGAUGAGAGCCACACAAGUGACCCCAGGCGACGAUGGCACUUCUAAGCAUAACUGGUAGACAAGGUAACAGAGGUGGAGAGACUAGCGGCUGUAGCAGCAGAGUCACGUGAUCCAGCAUCCUACGUGCAUGUGCGCUCUCCGUUACCCGCCGAUCCGGCUUGGUGUGCUUCUCGUGUUUGCGGGUUGUGUGCCACACUUGAUUAAGCACCCCACGUUCUCCUACAGUGCGCCCUUGACCCUGGCUUUAGGUAGCGCCGUGUCCUCGGCUUGCCGUGCAUAAUCCAGGUAUGCGCCAACUCUCCGAGCUCCUGCUCACCAUUGGUGUUGCUCGAGCGUGGGUUCUGGUGUCGCGCAUAAAGGGAACACGGGAUGUGUGAUUGUGACAGUUCACAUAGCAACCCGCGGCAAGGCAAAGGAUGCCCAUCCAACUGGCAGGGAGCGGAGGUGGACCCAAAAAGGUGGAUGUUGACUCCAUAGGAGUCUCAACAAUGUGCUUGUCAGUAAGAGGAGCAAGAAGAUCCUAGAUAUACUUCUCUUAGCAAAUAAAGAAGCCAUCAAAGGUAGACUCAGGGAAGUAGCGAUGAGGACCAAGGUCAGACAUAAGAAACUCACUGUGACGAGCCUUCACAAAGGCAAUGUACUUAAGAGUCGUGCAUGGUCAUGAGCACCCGUUGAAAAACGAGCCUUAUUAACCACAGAGACAACGCUCAAACCAGUCAUGAGGGGUUUGCUAAAGAUCAUAUAGAGAACGCCGAAGGCGAUAAACCAUGCCGACUGGAAAAGAAUACCCAAGUGGUGGCUACAUGUAGGCAUUGUUGACAUCAAGCUGAGAGAUAGAUAGAUAGAUAGAUAGAGAGAGAGAGCGAGCCUAUGUUGGCAAACAGAAGCACAUCGAAAAGUGUGCCAAAAGUGGUCAUCUGGGCCAUACAGGAGCAAAUGUCUCAUCGUAGUCAUGACUAUAUGUUCUCACCACUAGACGAGCUUUAUAAAGCUCUAGAGAAAUAUCAUAGUCUCACCCUUGUGGGCCUAGUUACAGUGAUGAGACGAGCAAGAGGAGGAAGGGAAAUGAGAUUCCACUAGCCGACGAGGUGAAGAGCAUUAUUGCGGUGGUCUUCUUGUGAAGAGCACCGCAAUAACUAACCAUAGCAGUCAAUAGGCAGAAGCGGACGAGCUCGAAAGCCAUAAGUAGGCUGAUCUGGAGCUAUGUGUUGCCAACAGAAGAAGACAUAGUAGUUGAGGGAGAUGACUCAUUAGAAGAAUCCACAACACGCGAACAAUGAGUGUAGUAAAGUCAAGGAAGAUGAGCAAAAGAAGGAACAUGCAAGACAAACUGCCAAGAGUGCCUCGACUAUCGACUGGCAGGGAAGUUACAUUGACAGUAAAAACAUGAACAUGAGAAUCUAGAUGUGGAAUACCCAAGUGGUGGCUGCACGUAAAACCCCUCACAAAAUUCACCAUUAAAAAAGACAUUCUUAACAUCAAGCCGAGACGAAGUGACGAAUAAAGGCCGCAACAAGAUGUGUGUGAACAAUUGUCGUAUGGCCCGCAUGAGCAAAAACUCUCAUCGUAAUUAGGACCAUGAUUCUACUGAAAGCCACGAGCCACAAGACGAGAUUUGUAAUGUUCAAGAGAACCAUCAGAGCGAGUCUUAACCUUGUAGACGCACCAAGUAAUGGGACGAACACGAGGAGGAAGGGACAUAAUAUCCGAUGUGCUGAUGUGCUCAACAGUAGCAAUAUCCUCUACCAUGGCAAGGCGCCAUUUGGUAUGAAUAACAUCAAGAUAAGAAGUCUGCUCAAGAAAGUAGCGCCAACGUUUCAUAGCCUAAGGCGGUCAACAGGCAAAAGUGUACGAGGUCGCAAGCCAUAAGAAGGCCGAGACGGAGAAAAUGUCACAUCAGUAGAUGCAUCCACAACACACGAACGACGUGUUUAAAAGUGAGGCAAAUGUGGAAGAAUACGAGCAAUAAUCCUCGAGAUAAGCUUAGGUUAUGGGGACAAGGAAGUCACCGGUGAUGAAGGUUUAGAAUCCCGUGAUAAGCGAAGCGAGGAAAUCAUAGGAGAUGAUGGUGCUGAAUCUGUAAUAAUUGGAGAAGCAGGAGCAGUACGAGGAAUGGAAUAGGGCUCAACGAUAGUGAUAGGAAUGUCGGGAAAAGUGAGAUAACACAUCCUCCACUAAAAAGGUCGGGGAUGAUGGCCACACGCAGCAGGGACGAGACUCACUAAAACUCAUACCGUGAGAAAUAGUCACCCGAUGACCAACCUGAUCCCAACAACAAUAUCUCUUAUGGUCAUUGUUGUAUCCUAUGAACACUCAACAUACUAAGUAGUAAGUUUGGUACAUUGACGAGAGGCAGUAAGGGCACAUCAAACACAACCAAACAAUUGAAGCGCUGAAUAAUCUGGAAACGAUCAAAUAGACUCUCGAAAGGAGAUGACCAUGGUGGAAGUGGAGACAAAUUCAACCCAAAAGUGUGGCGUAAGAGAGGCAGUGACCAUCCAAAAGUGUGGCGGAAGAGAGAGCAGUGACAUUGAACCUAUGAGCCGUCUCAAUAGUUGACGAUGCUUGCCCUCAGCCAUGCCAUUUUUGAGCAUGAGCACCAGGAUAAGAGAACUUAGCAAUGGCACCCUGCUCAACAAGGAUUGAGCGCAACAUCUUGGAGAUUUAUUCUCCACCGAGUCAUCACAGAAUACAAGAAUAGGCGUAGAGAGAUACUAUGUUGGCAAACAGAAGCCACAUCGAAAAGUGUGCCAAAAGUGGUCAUCCGGGGCCAUACAGGAGCAAAUGUCUCAUCGUAGUCAUGACUAUGUUCUCACCACUAGAUGAGCUUUGGAAAGCUCUAGAGAAACAUCAUAGCCUCACCCUUUGAUGUCAUCACAUGCUGCCAUUAUGGAUGAAAAAACGUCAUGAUAAGAAGUCGUCUUGCGAAGAGCACCACAAUAACUAACCAUAGCAGGUGAGCUCGAAAGCCAUAAGUAGGCUGAUCUGGAGCUAUGUGUUGCCAACAGAAGAAUACAUAGUAAUCGAGGGAGUUGACUCAUUAGAAGAAUCCACAACACGCGAACAGUGAGUGUAGUAAAGUCAAGGAAGACGAGCAAAAGAUGGAACAUGAAAAGAGAAACUGCCAAGAGUGCCUCGACUAUCGACAGGUAGGGAAGUUACCAGGAUAAGAGAACUGAGCAAGAGCACCGUGCUCAACAAGGAUUGAAUGCAACAUCUUGGAGAUUUAUUCUCCACCAGAGUCAUCACGGAAUACAAGAAUAGGCGUAGGGAACUUGUUCGUGUGCCUUGGCGUCAAAACGCUUACACAUAUAAGACCUCACUACGAAAGGAAAUAAAGUAUAUCCAGGUGUGUUGAGAGAAGUCAUCUAUAAAUAUAGUACUAGCGAUGACCUCCUUUCGAGGCGAAAGGAGGUGGGCCCCAGACAUUAGAGUGAACAAGGUUGAAAGGGUUGUUGAGACACUGUCUCGCUAUGAGCAUAAGGUAAGUAUAGCUGUUUACCAAGCCGACAACCCAGACAGUUUAGAGACAUCAUCCGAGACUGAUCCAAGAAGACCAUGUCAAACUAAGGAUGCGAGAUGAGAGCCACACAAGUGACCCCAGGCGACGAUGGCACUUCUAAGCAUAAAUGGUAGACAAGGUAACAGAGGUGGAGAGACUAGCGGCUGUAGCAGCAGAGUCACUUGAUCCAGCAUCCUACGUGCCUGUGCGCUCUCCGUUACCCGCCGAUCCGGCUUGGUGUGCUUCUCCUGUUUGCGGGUUGUGUGCCAGCACUUGAUUAAGCACCCCACGUUCUCCUACAGUGCGCCCUUGACCCUGGCUUUAGGUAGCGCCUUGUCCUCGGCUUGCCGUGCAUAAUCCAGGUAUGCGCCAACUGUCCGAGCUCCUGCUCACCAUUGGUGUUGCUCGAGCGUGGGUUCUGGUGUCGCCCAUAAAGGGAACACGGGAUGUGGGAUUGAGACAGUUCACAUAGCAACCCACAGCAAGGCAAAGGAUGCCCAUCCAACUGGCAGGGAGCGGAGGUGGACCCAAAAAGGUGGAUGUUGACUCGAAGGAGUCUCAACAGUACGCUUGUCAGUAAGAGGAGCAAGAAGAUCCUGGAUAUACUUCUCUUAGCAAAUAAAGAAGCCAUCAAAGGUAGACUCAGGGAAGUAGCGACGAGGACCAAGGUCAGACAUAAGAAACUCACUGUGACGAGCCUUCACAAAGGCAAUGUACUUAAGAGUCGUGCAGGAUCAUGAGCACCCGUUGAAAAACGAGCCUUAUUAACCACAGAGACAACACUCAAACCAGUCAUGAGGGGUUUGCUAAAGAGCAUAUAGAGAACGCCGAAGGCGACAAACCAUGCCGGCUGGAAAAGAAUACCCAAGUGGUGGUUACAUGUAGGAUUGUUGACAUCAAGCAGAGAGAGAGAGAGAGAGAGAUAGAUAGAGAGAGAGCCUAUGUUGGCAAACAGAAGCACAUCGAAAAGUGUGCCAACAGUGGUCAUCUGGGCCAUACAGGAGCAAAUGUCUCAUCGUAGUCAUGACUGUAUGUUCUCACCAGUAGACGAGCUUUGUAAAGCUCUAGAGAAACAUCAUAGUCUCACCCUUGUGGGUCUAGUUACAAGUAAUGAGACGAGCAAGAGGAGGAAGGGAAAUGAGAUUCCACUAGCCGACAAGGUGAAGAGCAUUUGAUGCCAUCACAUGCUGCCAUUGUGGAUGAAAAAAAUGUCAUGAUAAGAAGUCUUCUUGUGAAGACCACCGCAAUAACUAACCAUAGCAGUCAAUAGGCAGAAGCGGGCGAGCUCGAAAGCCAUAAGUAGGCUGAUCUGGAGCUAUGUGUUGCCAACAGAAGAAGACAUAGUAGUUGUGGGAGAUGACUCAUUAUAAGAAUCAACAACACGCGAACAAUGAGUGUAGUAAAGUCAAGGAAGAUGAGCAAAAGAAGGAACAUGCAAGACAAACUGCCAAGAGUGCCUCGACUAUCGACUGGCAGGGAAGUUACAUUGACAGUAAAAACAUGAACAUGAGAAUCUAGAUGUGGAAUACCCAAGUGGUGGCUGCACGUAAAACCCCUGACAAAAUUCACCAUUAAAAAAGUCUUUGUUAACAUCAAGCCGAGACGGAGUGACGAAUAAAGGCCGCAACAAGAUGUGUGUGAACAAUUGUCGUAUGGCCCGCAUAAGCUGAAACUCUCAUCGUAAUUAGGACCAUGAUUCUACUGAAAGCCACGAGCCACAAGACGAGCUUUGUAAUGUUCAAGAGAACCAUCAGAACUAGUCUUAACCUUGUAGACGCAUCAAGUAAUGGGACGAACACGAGGAGGAAGGGACACAAUAUCCGAUGUGCUGAUGUGCUCAACAGUAGCAAUAUCCUCUACCAUGGCAAGGCGCUAUUUGGUAUGAAUAACAUCAAGAUAAGAAGUCUGCUCAAGAAAGUGGCGCCAACGUUUCAUAGCCUAAGGCGGUCCACAGGCAAAAGUGGACGAGGUCGCAAGCCAUAAGAAGACCGAGACGGAGAAGAUGGCACAUCAGUAGAUGCAUCCACAACACAUGAACGACGUGUAUAAAAGUGAGGCAAAUGUGGAAGAAUACGAGCAAUAAUCCCCGAGAUAAGCUCAGGUUAGCGAGACAAGGAAGUCACCGAUGAUGAAGGUUUAGAAUCCCGUGAUAAGCGAAGUGAGGAAAUCACAGGAGAUGAUGGUGCUGAAUCUGUAAUAAUUGGAGAAGCAGGAGCAGUACGAGGAAUGGAAUAGGGCUCAACUAUAGUGAUAAGAAUGUCGGGAAAAGUGAGGUAACACAUCCUCCACUAAAAAGGUCGGGGAUGAUGGUCAUACGUAGCAGGGACGAGACUCACUAAAAGUCAUACCGUGAGAAAUAGUCACCCGAUGACCAACCUGAUCCCAACAACAAUAUCUCUUAUGCUCAUUGUUGUAUCCUAGGAACACUCAACAUACUAAGUAGUAAGUUUGGUACAUUGACGAGAGGCAGUAAGGGCACAUCAAACACAACCAAACAAUUGAAGCGCUGAAUAAUCUGGAAACGAUCAAAUAGACUCGGAAGGAGAUGACCAUGGUGGAAGUGGAGACGCAUUCAACCCAAAAGUGUGGCGUAAGAGAGGCAGUGACCAUCCAAAAGUGUGGCGGAAGAGAGAGCAGUGACAUUGAACCUAUGAGCCGUCUCAAUAGUUGACGAUGCUUGCCCUCAGCUAUGCCAUUUCUGAGCAUGAGCACCAGGAUAAGAGAACUGAGCAAGAGCACCCUGCUCAACAAGGAUUGAGCGCAACAUCUUGGAGAUUUAUUCUCCACCGAGUCAUCACAGUAUACAAGAAUAGGCGUAGAGAGAUACUAUGUUGGCAAACGGAAGCCACAUCGAAAAGUGUGGCAAAAGUGGUCAGCUGGGCCAUACAGGAGCAAAUGUCUCAUCGUAGUCAUGACUAUAUGUUCUCACCACUAGAUGAGCUUUGUAAAGCUCUAGAGAAACAUCAUAGCCUCACCCUUUGAUGUCAUCACAUGCUGCCAUUAUGGAUGAGAAAACGUCAUGAUAAGAAGUCGUCUUGCGAAGAGCACCACAAUAACUAACCAUAGCAGUCAAAAGGCAGUAGCAGGCGAGCUCGAAAGCCAUAGUUAGGCUGAUCUGGAGCUAUGUGUUGCCAACAGAAGAAUACAUAGUAAUCGAGGGAGUUGACUCAUUAGAAGAAUCCACAACACGCGAACAGUGAGUGUAGUAAAGUCAAGGAAGACGAGCAAAAGAAGGAACAUGAAAAGAGAAACUGCCAAGAGUGCCUCGACUAUCGACAGGUAGGGAAGUUACCAGGAUAGGAGAACUGAGCAAGAGCACCGUGCUCAACAAGGAUUGAAUGCAACAUCUUGGAGAUUUAUUCUCCACCGGAGUCAUCACGGAAUACAAGAAUAGGCGUAGGGAACUUGGUGUGUGCCAUGGCAUCAAAACGCUUACACAUAUAAGACCUCACUACGAAAGGAAAUAAAGUAUAUCCAGGUGUGUUGAGAGAAGUCAUCUAUAAAUAUAGUACUAGCGAUAACCUCCUUUCGAGGCGAAAGGAGGUGGGUCCCAGACAUCAAAGUGAACAAAG